Molecule: ribosomal RNA, 493 nt
Filed under: uncultured bacterium
Lineage: Bacteria
Description: bacterial SSU rRNA
Rfam family: Bacterial small subunit ribosomal RNA
Source: RNAcentral
AUUGAACGCUGGCGGAAUGCUUUACACAUGCAAGUCGAACGGCAGCACGGGGCAACCUGGUGGCGAGUGGCGAACGGGUGAGUAAUAUAUCGGAACGUGCCCAAUCGUGGGGGAUAACGUAGCGAAAGUUACGCUAAUACCGCAUACGAUCUACGGAUGAAAGCGGGGGAUCGCAAGACCUCGCGCGAAUGGAGCGGCCGAUAUCAGAUUAGGUAGUUGGUGGGGUAAAGGCUCACCAAGCCAACGAUCUGUAGCUGGUCUGAGAGGACGACCAGCCACACUGGAACUGAGACACGGCCCAGACUCCUACGGGAGGCAGCAGUGGGGAAUAUUGCACAAUGGGCGAAAGCCUGAUGCAGCGACGCCGCGUGAGCGAAGAAGGCCUUAGGGUCGUAAGACUCUGUUGUAAGGGACGGAAUGUUUAUCUGGCGAACAGUCAGAUAAAGUAGACGGUACCGUUACCUACGCAAGACCCCGGCCGUAACUACGUGCC